RNAcentral lists this ribosomal RNA (1058 nucleotides) under uncultured fungus. RNAcentral describes it as "SSU rRNA". It matches the Rfam family "Eukaryotic small subunit ribosomal RNA", at positions 83 to 1148 of the family's 1831-position model. Lineage: Eukaryota; Fungi. The record is from RNAcentral.
GAAACUGCGAAUGGCUCAUUAAAUCAGUUAUCGUUUUAUUUUGAUAGUACUUCACUACAUGGACAACUGUGGUAAUUCUAGAGCUAAUACAUGCUAAAAACCCCGACUUCGGGAGGGGUGUAUUUAUUAGAUAAAAAACCAAUGCCCUCCGGGGCUCCUUGGUGAAUCAUAGUAACUCAACGAAUCGCAUGGCCUUGCGCCGGCGAUGGUUCAUUCAAAUUUCUGCCCUAUCAACUUUCGAUGGUAGGAUAGUGGCCUACCAUGGUCUCAACGGGUAACGGGGAAUUAGGGUUCGACUCCGGAGAGGGAGCCUGAGAAACGGCUACCACAUCCAAGGAAGGCAGCAGGCGCGCAAAUUACCCAAUCCCGACACGGAGAGGUAGUGACAAUAAAUACUGAUACAGGGCUCUUUCGGGUCUUGUAAUUGGAAUGAGUACAAUUUAAAUCCCUUAACGAGGAACAAUUGGAGGGCAAGUCUGGUGCCAGCAGCCGCGGUAAUUCCAGCUCCAAUAGCGUAUAUUAAAGUUGUUGCAGUUAAAAAGCUCGUAGUUGAACCUUGGGCCUGGCUGGCCGGUCCGCCUCACCGCGUGUACUGGUCCGGCCGGGCCUUUCCUUCUGGGGAACCGCAUGGCCUUCACUGGCCGUGCCGGGGAACCAGGACUUUUACUUUGAAAAAAUUAGAGUGUUCAAAGCAGGCCUUUGCUCGAAUACAUUAGCAUGGAAUAAUAGAAUAGGACGCGCGGUUCUAUUUUGUUGGUUUCUAGGACCGCCGUAAUGAUUAAUAGGGACAGUCGGGGGCAUCCGUAUUCAAUUGUCAGAGGUGAAAUUCUUGGAUUUAUUGAAGACGAACUACUGCGAAAGCAUUUGCCAAGGAUGUUUUCAUUAAUCAGUGAACGAAAGUUAGGGGAUCGAAGACGAUCAGAUACCGUCGUAGUCUUAACCAUAAACUAUGCCGACUAGGGAUCGGUGGGUGUUAUUAUUUUGACCCCAUCGGCACCUUACGAGAAAUCAAAGUGUUUGGGUUCUGGGGGGAGUAUGGUCGCAAGGCUGAACUUAAA